GACGAACGCUGGCGGCGUGCCUAAUACAUGCAAGUAGAACGCUGAAGGAGGAGCUUGCUUCUCUGGAUGAGUUGCGAACGGGUGAGUAACGCGUAGGUAACCUGCCUGGUAGCGGGGGAUAACUAUUGGAAACGAUAGCUAAUACCGCAUAAUAGUAGAUGUUGCAUGACAUUUGCUUAAAAGGUGCAAUUGCAUCACUACCAGAUGGACCUGCGUUGUAUUAGCUAGUUGGUGAGGUAACGGCUCACCAAGGCAACGAUACAUAGCCGACCUGAGAGGGUGAUCGGCCACACUGGGACUGGGACACGGCCCAGACUGCUACGGGAGGCAGCAGUAGGGAAUCUGCGGCGAUGGACGGAAGUCUGACCGAGCAACGCCGCGAGAGUGAAGAAGGUUUUCGGAUCGUAAAGCUCUGUUGUAAGAGAAGAAAGAGUGUGAGAGUGGAAAGUUCACGCUGUGACGGUAACUUACCAGAAAGGGACGGCUAACUACGUG
RNAcentral lists this ribosomal RNA (495 nucleotides) under uncultured bacterium. RNAcentral describes it as "partial 16S ribosomal RNA". It matches the Rfam family "Bacterial small subunit ribosomal RNA", at positions 28 to 507 of the family's 1533-position model. The record is from RNAcentral.